AGCGAACGCUGGCGGCAGGCUUAACACAUGCAAGUCGAACGGGCAUAGCAAUAUGUCAGCGUCAGACGUGUGAGUAACGCGUGGGAACGUACCUUUUGGUUCGGAACAACUGAGGGAAACUUCAGCUAAUACGGGAUAAGCCCUUACGGGGACAGAGUGAUCGCCGAAAGCUGGGCCCGCGUCUGAUUAGCUGGUUGGUGAGGUAAUGGCUAACCAAGGCGACGAAGAGUAGCUGGUCGCAGAGGAUGAUCAGCCACUUUGGGACGAAGACACGGGCGAAAGUACUACGGGAGGCAGCGGUGGGGAAGAUUGUACGAUGGGGGGAAGCCUGAUCCAGCAAUGCCGCGUGAGUGAUGAAGGCCCUAGGGUUGUAAAGCUCUGUUGUGCGGGAAGGUAAUGACGGUACCGCAAGAAUAAGCCCCGGCUAACUUCGUGCCAGCCGCCGCCGUAA
This 451-nucleotide ribosomal RNA is filed under the name uncultured bacterium. Its description in RNAcentral is "partial 16S ribosomal RNA". It matches the Rfam family "Bacterial small subunit ribosomal RNA", at positions 29 to 523 of the family's 1533-position model. The record is from RNAcentral.